GAUGAACGCUGGCGGCGUGCCUAAUACAUGCAAGUCGAGCGAACGGACGAGAAGCUUGCUUCUCUGAUGUUAGCGGCGGACGGGUGAGUAACACGUGGAUAACCUACCUAUAAGACUGGGAUAACUUCGGGAAACCGGAGCUAAUACCGGAUAAUAUUUUGAACCGCAUGGUUCAAAAGUGAAAGACGGUCUUCCUGUCACUUAUAGAUGGAUCCGCCCUGCAUUAGCUAGUUGGUAAGGUAACGGCUUACCAAGGCAACGAUGCAUAGCCGACCUGAGAGGGUGAUCGGCCACACUGGAACUGAGACACGGUCCAGACUCCUACGGGAGGCAGCAGUAGGGAAUCUUCCGCAAUGGGCGAAAGCCUGACGGAGCAACGCCGCGUGAGUGAUGAAGGUCUUCGGAUCGUAAAACUCUGUUAUUAGGGAAGAACAUAUGUGUAAGUAACUGUGCACAUCUUGACGGUACCUAAUCAGAAAGCCACGGCUAACUACGUG
Molecule: ribosomal RNA, 497 nt
Filed under: uncultured bacterium
Lineage: Bacteria
Description: partial 16S ribosomal RNA
Rfam family: Bacterial small subunit ribosomal RNA
Source: RNAcentral